This is a long non-coding RNA of Megalobrama amblycephala (Wuchang bream), 2368 nucleotides long. RefSeq lists it as uncharacterized. NCBI's taxonomy places the organism in Eukaryota, Metazoa, Chordata, Actinopteri, Cypriniformes, Xenocyprididae. The record is from RefSeq and is a predicted model, not a curated record. The transcript is spliced from 3 exons.
UGAACCAAUGUUUUAUUUUUUAGAGUGCUAUAGGAUGGCUUAAGGGUGAGUAAAGCUUGGGGUAAUUUUCAUUUGAAAGUGAACUAAUCCUUUAAAAACGCCUACUCUUAAUAAAUUAAUUGUGUGUGUAUUAUACUUUCUAAUAAAGCCAUGAAAAUUCAUACCACAGUUUCAUUUCCACUAAAUUUAAUCAAAGUAUGCAUUGUAUUCAGUAGUAUUCUUUGAUGGAAAUGACAGAAGUGGAAAUUACAUUGAUGAUUGAAUGAUUUGUCUUGCAAAGGGUCAUUUUAUAGCAUUUUUGUAUUGUAAUUAAAACAUUUUCACACAUAGCUUAACUGUAAAUGCCACAAAAUAAUAAUGACAUUUACCUUGAUUUUACUUUGUUUUCUCAUGUUACUAAUGCUCUUCUCAUUGCCUCCUUGGCAACAAGUCCUACUAACUUUAUUGGGGCAAAACUGUUCUGUGUUGUGGAAAUAAAAUUCACAAUUGUUUUAUUGAUUAUUGAUUUAAGCAUUAUUGAUGAAUGUGUGAAAUAAUACAUAAAAAUAUAAGGCAACAAUUAUAAAAGCAAUGGAAAAGUUUCCACUUUAGUUUCAAUGUGAUCUUCAUAACAAAACAAAAGUUUAUAUUUGUUAGUUUUAAUAAAAAUCAAUCCUUGCAACAUUCCCGAAGUGCCUGAAGUUGAAGAAAUAUUCUCUGUUCAUAAAUAAACAUGUCUAAUAAACAAAAUUACUCACCUUUACAAUGUAGGGAAAUUAGGAUCUUCAGCAUUUUGUGUCUCUCCAGUAUCACACAAAGUGUCUGCGAGCUCCCUUCACCUCUGUCUUUGACAUUAUGAAUGCAUAAUUAGACUACGUGAUGGGUGCAAUGUCUCAAAACAGCGGAAAUUGAAUCAAAUCAAACAUAAUCUGUAACACUGAGGCUCAUCAAACAAUGUCACUUGGCAACCCUGGGAACAGUUAGCGAGAACACAGGAAGUUGUCAUUACUGCCACAUAUCGGGUAUAUGAGGCUCCCCAAGAACAUAUGGAACAUAUUGGCAAGAUAAGAAGCAAGUGUUUGUUUUGUGUGUUUGUGUGUGUGCGUCUAUGGUUCUGGUAAACCCUAUGCAUGGGGACAAAAUUUUCCCACAAAGAUGUCAAUAUCUUUGUCCUUGUAGGGAUGUUUCGGUCCCUAUGAGGAAAACAGCUUAUAAAUCAUAUUAUGUGAUAUUUUUUUUAAAAAUGUAAAAAUGCAGAAAGUUUUCUGUGAUGGGAAGGUUUAGGGGAUAUAAUAUACAGUUUAUACAGUAUAAAAGUCAUAAUGUCUAUGGAAUGUCCCCAUAAAACAUGAAAACCCGACAUUCAAUAUAUGGUGAGUCAUUUUCAGCAAGACGAGACAAGUGUAGGCUAUUCUAAAAAAGCCAAAGGGUAAUUUCUUUUAGUGUUUAAAGAAUACAAUAUGAUUAAGACAACUAAAUUUCACAAUGUACUAAAGUACGUCUAAAUUUAAACAACGCAUCAGUAUGUGCAGUUUAUGAAAUGAAUACAGUAGGUUCAUUAUGAGAAUAAAUAAAACAUUCAUUUUACAACUUCCACAAAAGAGCCUGUAUCCUGUAGCUCAGGGUUACUCAUUUCUACUCCUGGAGAGUCAACUUCCUGCGAGCUUAGUUUCACACCUGGCUGUAAUUUUAAGUCAACUUAGUGUCCUUUAAUUACAUUCCAAAAAGCCUACAAACACAUCCUGCUUGUUACCAGAACAAUCGUUUAGUGAUUAUUUUCACCAACAGAGGGAGCUACAGACUACACUGAUUACUUAGAGUCGCGCUGCUGCUUUAUCCAUGAAGAACUGAACCUGGAUGAGAGCGGAGCAGUAUCAUUUCAGUUAUUAAAAUAGACACCAUUAUCAGUUUCAAGGUAGUCACAUACCAACAAUUCAAUGUUACAUUAAAGUAAUAUCUGUAUGUACUAUGUAAGAGGGCCUUAACAGUCUUGCACGCAAUUUUAAAUGUUCCCGAAAGUUCUGCCAUCACAACUCGGAGCAAACCCCACUUGUGCUAAAUGCGGGACAUCAUACGUCUUCAGUGUGUUUCAUGCUAUGUAGAGUUAAGACAGUCGGCAGUCAUGAGCACCGCAACUGAAACAGCAGCCUUUUCUCAGUUCUACAAAUUACGCCCCUGUAGUCAUCUUUUUGUGGAUUGUGGACUCCUUGAUUUUCUUACUGGACUGAUGUUUAAGAAGAUCUUUUCUGUUUGAAAAAAACCUUUUUGGAUAACCUCUCAAGGAGAGUUGUUUGUGUUACCUGCUCAGAUCCAUCUAAAGUGCUGCCUAAGACUGUGCUAAUGUUCUGUAUUCCCUUUUUGAAGUAAAGAUCCAAAGACAAGACUCAGA